GCAGGGUCUUCUGUUAUCGGGCAAGGUCACGCUGGGAUAAAGUCAUAAAAUAACCAGCACCGCCUCCAUGGUGCCUGUGGAGCUACCGCUUGGUGUCCCGGCUGCGGUUCAGCCCUGUGGCAUGUCAAGGUUGCUGUGCUUCCCCCCCCCGCUAUAAUUUCAAAGAUUAUCAAGGAGCUUUAUUUAGAGAGGGGAAAAAAAAAAAGAAAAUUAUUUAGAAAGGAAACGUGGAGAAUGAGCGAGAAUUUCCCCCAGCUGUGUAGCGGAGGAGUUUUGUACCGACUCUCCGAGAGAUGAACUGUUAGUUAAAAGGACUCGUCAGAGAUGAGCUUCUAAUUUAAAGGACUUGCCAAAAUGUAACUGUAUACGGCGUGUUCUGCAACUCUGAGGAUCCCUGGCGUGUCUGGAGGCAUGUGCGUGUGCCCCGUGUUGCUGGGAUGAGUCAACAGUGUUUAUUUUGUCAAUGCAUUAAGUAUUUCCCAAAGGAAAUGCAGCCGGUGUGGGUGAAUCAACUGGAUUUGUCAUGGUCUGGACAGAGCAGCCUGCUGGGGCUUGAAGGAAAAUGUGAGGCAGUGAAGCCUGAGACUCACAAGGCUGAAGGGUGAAGUGGUGGGAGGCUGUUGGGAUUUUUUGUUUAUUUGUUUGGUUUUCUACAUUUCCUCUCAAAGCAAAUAUUUAUAUGAUGAGCUUCCAAAGAAUCUCUGGUGGGGGGCAAUAAAUAAAAUUCGGGGAAAGAAAAGUCUUUAGAAGUACUGGUGGAGUCAAUCUGUUUCCUGACCCCAGCAGUCACUGUGUCGUAGCUGUGCGUGCCUUUGUCCACCCUGUGCCUGCUGCCCGGAUCCCCAGUGCAACUCUGGGGACAAACAGCUCCUUACAUUUAACACGCGAGGCAUUUUCACAGUCAAAACAUGUCUCUUCGCAUCCUUCCAAACUUCUCCAUGCUGUUAUGAGUCACUCUGCUAUUACACCUGAUUUCCAGUUGAUAAGUUGUUGCAGUUUUCCACCCUGUAUUUCCUAUCCUGCUUCAGUUUGUAUCCUAUAAAGCAAAGUUCAUGGUCCAAAACAUAAUUUUGGGUGGUUCUUCUUUUUUUUUUUUUUUCUGAUUGCAAGGAAAUCCCUUUUUAAACAAGAUUGCAGUUUGUAUUUCUUGCAUUAUUAUGUGUUUUAAAAGAUGCUAUUGUAACAAUGGUUUGUGAAAUCCAUGUUCAGUGACUUUCUGGUACUCUGAGACCUUGGUUCUGUAUCUCUGCAGGUUUGGGCUUGUGUCAGCUCUGUCUUUUCUUCUUCACGAUAAAUAUUUUGAGUCUGCUACAUUUUUCUUCUAGAGUCUUCUGCUUCCUCUCACAUUAAUUAUUCACUGUGUAUUUUGACUGCACUUUGGUUUACAUUAUUGUUGUUGUUGCUGUUGCUUAGAGUUUCUAAGGGAAGGAGAUUGAAUUAAUUGGAAAGGAAAUAAUUUGAGGUGCUGAUCCCAAGUAUCAUUUGAUGAGAAACAUCACUAACCUGGUGCACAACCACUGGUGACAUUGGGACAGUCUGAAGCUGGAAAAAAUUAUUAUUUUAAACUAAUUGGAAAGUUUGGAUCCUGAAUGUGUAACUUAAAUUUUUUGAGUCUUUUAGCUUACAAUAACAUCUUGAGAAAAACAUAUAUGGAUAAAAAUGUCAUUUUCUUGACCCUCCUCACUUCAUGCUUAUUUCCUGUCUUCUUGUUUGGAACAAUACCUGCAUAUGAUCUCUGUAUCCUAAAUAAUUUUCUGCUGUAUCAUUUCAGCUUUCAUCGAUGCAGAUGAGACUUUGGUGAGGCCUGAACUCUGGUGCUGCUGCCCCUGGAUACCCCGGGAGUGAGAGAGCUGGGGGACAAGACCAGAAAUGCUGCAGUGAGAUGGAUAAUCUGGCCACCACCAGCACAGUUCUGAAACUGCAGUGAAAGUGUGCAGGAUUGGAAUCUGACAUGGCACACAGAAGAUCCAGAUUUCACCCCAUGCUUUCAGAACACAGUCCUGGUCUGGAUUC
Manacus vitellinus (golden-collared manakin) is the source of this 2013-nucleotide long non-coding RNA. RefSeq lists it as uncharacterized. The record is from RefSeq and is a predicted model, not a curated record. NCBI's taxonomy places the organism in Eukaryota, Metazoa, Chordata, Aves, Passeriformes, Pipridae. The transcript is spliced from 3 exons.